CCCUUAGAUGUCCUGGGCCGCACGCGCGUUACACUGAUGCAUUCAACGAGCUUAUAACCUUGGCCGAGAGGCCUGGGCAAUCUUGUUAACGUGCAUCGUGAUGGGGAUAGAUUAUUGAAAUUAUUAAUCUUGAACGAGGAAUUCCUAGUAAACGCAGAUCAUCAAUCUGCAUUGAUUACGUCCCUGCCCUUUGUACACACCGCCCGUCGCACCUACCGAUUGGAUGGUCCGGUGAAGCCUCGGGAUUGUGGUUCUUGCCGCUUUAUUGUGGCGUGACCGCGAGAACUUGUCUAAACCUUAUCAUCUAGAGGAAGGUGGAGUCGUAACA
RNAcentral lists this ribosomal RNA (328 nucleotides) under uncultured eukaryote. RNAcentral's name for it is "partial 18S ribosomal RNA". It matches the Rfam family "Eukaryotic small subunit ribosomal RNA", at positions 1470 to 1796 of the family's 1831-position model. The record is from RNAcentral.